This 423-nucleotide ribosomal RNA is filed under the name uncultured bacterium. RNAcentral describes it as "partial 16S ribosomal RNA". It matches the Rfam family "Bacterial small subunit ribosomal RNA", at positions 360 to 775 of the family's 1533-position model. The record is from RNAcentral.
AAUCUUGGACGAUGGGGGCAACCCUGAUCCAGCCAUCCCGCGUGUGCGAUGAAGGCCUUCUGGUCGUAAAGCACUUUUGGCAGGGAAGAAAAGGCUCUGGAUAAUACCUGGCGCCGCUGACGGCACCUGCAGAAUAAGCACCGACUACCUCCGUCCCAGCCGCCGCGGUAAUACGUAGGGUGCAAGCGUUAAUCGGAAUUACUGGGCGUAAAGCGUGCGCAGGCGGUUCGGAAAGAAAGAUGUGAAAUCCCAGGGCUUAACCUUGGAACUGCAUUUUUAACUGCCGGGCUAGAGUAUGUCAGAGGGGGGUAGAAUUCCACGUGUAGCAGUGAAAUGCGUAGAGAUGUGGAGGAAUACCGAUGGCGAAGGCAGCCCCCUGGGAUAAUACUGACGCUCAUGCACGAAAGCGUGGGGAGCAAACAG